AAUUGAUAAGAAUUACUUUGAAAGUAAAUAACAGGCAACAAUUUUGCCAUCAGUUU
Molecule: transfer RNA, 56 nt
Filed under: Asiopsocus sonorensis
Lineage: Eukaryota; Metazoa; Arthropoda; Insecta; Psocodea; Asiopsocidae
Description: tRNA-Ser
Source: RNAcentral